UCCCGGGUCGUCUAAGGGCAGGACAAUCGGUUUUGGUCCGAUUAAUGGGGGUUCGAAUCCUCCCCCGGGAG
RNAcentral lists this transfer RNA (71 nucleotides) under Actinocrinis puniceicyclus. RNAcentral describes it as "actinobacterium OB1 tRNA". It matches the Rfam family "tRNA". Rfam says of the family: Transfer RNA (tRNA) molecules are approximately 80 nucleotides in length. Their secondary structure includes four short double-helical elements and three loops (D, anti-codon, and T loops). The record is from Rfam by way of RNAcentral. Lineage: Bacteria; Bacillati; Actinomycetota; Actinomycetes; Catenulisporales; Actinospicaceae. RNAcentral also lists the same sequence under 2 other names.